CGAGCGAUGAAACUUUAACAGAACCCUUCGGGGCGAAGAUAAAGUGGAUUAGCGGCGGACGGGUGAGUAACACGUGAGUAACCUGCCUUAGACAUUGGGAUAGCCUCGGGAAACCGGGAUUAAUACCAAAUAAAAUCAUAAUGACACAUGUCAUAACGAUCAAAACUCCGGUGGUCUAAGAUGGACUCGCGUCCCAUUAGCUAGUUGGUAGAGUAAAAGCCUACCAAGGCGACGAUGGGUAGCCGGCCUGAGAGGGUGAACGGCCACAUUGGAACUGAGAAACGGUCCAAACUCCUACGGGAGGCAGCAGUGGGGAAUAUUGCACAAUGGAGGGAACUCUGAUGCAGCGACGCCGCGUGAACGAAGAAGGCUUUCGAGUCGUAAAGUUCUUUUAUAUGGGAAGAUAAUGACGGUACCAUAAGAAAAAGCCCCGGCUAACUACGUGCCAGCAGCCGCGGUAAUACGUAGGGGGCUAGCGUUGCCCGGAAUCACUGGGCGUAAAGGGUUCGCAGGCGGAAAUGCAAGUCAGAUGUAAAAGGCAGUAGCUUAACUACUGUAAGCAUUUGAAACUGCAUAUCUUGAGAAGAGUAGAGGUAAGUGGAAUUUUUAGUGUAGCGGUGAAAUGCGUAGAUAUUAAAAAGAAUACCGGUGGCGAAGGCGACUUACUGGGCUCAUUCUGACGCUGAGGAACGAAAGCGUGG
This 701-nucleotide ribosomal RNA is filed under the name uncultured Eubacteriales bacterium. RNAcentral's name for it is "bacterial SSU rRNA". It matches the Rfam family "Bacterial small subunit ribosomal RNA", at positions 63 to 764 of the family's 1533-position model. The record is from RNAcentral. Lineage: Bacteria; Bacillati; Bacillota; Clostridia; Eubacteriales.